AACGAACGCUGGCGGCAUGCCUAACACAUGCAAGUCGAACGAGACCUUCGGGUCUAGUGGCGCACGGGUGCGUAACGCGUGGGAACCUGCCCUUAGGUUCGGAAUAACUCCCCGAAAGGGGUGCUAAUACCGGAUAAUGUCUUCGGACCAAAGAUUUAUCGCCUUUGGGUGGGCCCGGGUUGGAUUAGCUAGUUGGUAGGGUAAAAGCCUACCAAGGCGACGAUCCAUAGCUGGUCGGAGAGGAUGAUUAUCCACACUGGGACUAAGACACGGCCCAGACUCCUACGGGAGGCAGCAGUGUGGAAUAUUGGACAAUGAGCGAAAGCCUGAUCCAGCAAUGCCGCGUGAGUGAUGAAGGCCUUAGGGUUGUAAAGCUCUUUUACCCGGGAUGAUAAUGACGGUACCGGGAGAAUAAGCUCCGGCUAACUCCGUG
Molecule: ribosomal RNA, 433 nt
Filed under: uncultured bacterium
Lineage: Bacteria
Description: partial 16S ribosomal RNA
Rfam family: Bacterial small subunit ribosomal RNA
Source: RNAcentral